RNAcentral lists this long non-coding RNA (1252 nucleotides) under Macaca mulatta (Rhesus monkey). Its description in RNAcentral is "lncRNA (ENSMMUG00000062887.1)". Lineage: Eukaryota; Metazoa; Chordata; Mammalia; Primates; Cercopithecidae. The record is from RNAcentral.
AGUAAAGUGUUGACUUAGCGCAGAUCAUCAGCUCCCAAUUCUUUUCUAUCAAGGGGGGCAGGGUUAGAAACCCCCCCCCCCAAUCUUAUAAGAACUGGGAUCUGAUGAUCUGUGCUGUCAAGAGAGGUAGGGUUAGAACACCCCACUCCCCAUUCCCAUUGUUGAAAAUAAUUGACUUGGGAGGGUUUUUACUUCUAAGAUUAAAGCCGUGCAUUUUUGGAGCCUGGGCUGUCAGCUGUGGUGGCUGGGGAAUGCUGGGGCUGCGGUCAUCUGGCCGCUGGCAGCUCUGCUGGUGGGUCCUGUCUCUUUGACACCGUUCAUUUCUGAAGCUUGCUUUCCUCGGUGUUGGAAGUAGCAGCACUGGAGGAAUGGCCUCCUUCCUACAGCGAAGCUCUGCCAGGAGAGGAGAAGACACGGAGCGUCUAUUGAAGGAUGUGAUGUUUGGGGCACCGCACCAUGUGUUCUGCUUCUCAGCGGUGCCUCCUGGUUGAUGUUAGUAUCACCUGGCAUUGCCCAGGAGGUAACUUGCAGAUGCCACACUGAUGGAAAGCUGCAGCAGCGUGGUUCGAGUCCAGAGCCAGCUGGAGCUUAUCAGCAAGGUCAGGCUGGACACACAUGCUCCACCCAGUGGGUGGGUCUGUGGAGCUGGGGUGGCGUGAGAGCCAGAGAGUCCUGGUGGAACCCUGCCAGAUGACAGGAAAGGGGCCCAUGAGGAGAGGAACCAGUGGAUUCGAGACAGGAAGUGGAAGGAGCUCAGGAAGGAGUGAGCCGUCUCAGGGUGGGAGGCUCAGGAGCCAGCAGAUCUAUACAACCUGGCGUUUGGCCGUGGCUUCCAGGACAGGCUGGAUGCAGAGUGAAGUCCUCUCCUCACUGUCAAUGUUUGCAGAUGUCUUCUUGUAUAAACUUCGUAUUUCUUGAGACUUUCAAUUAGGUUUUUACUUAACUGGACUUUUAAAAUUGCCAUGCACAUAACUCUACCAGUUAGAAUCUUGAGCUAACAUGGGUUUUUGGUUUUUGGUUUUUGGUUUUACUUUGAUGAAUGUUUAACAUUUGCAUGCUGGAUGUGGGGGUGGAGGUCAUUUAUCUGCUUUUCAUUGCCUUCUUGGUUAUACUUAGUGACUUUCAGGUAAGGUGUGGAAGGCGUGGUACAGGGUGAAUUGCAGGCCGCACUGUGGCGCCGUGGAGGACAGGUGCGGGCUGCAGUGGUGUGCACAGUGGAUGAGAGACAAGAGAGACUUCCAUCCUUGAGGGA